RNAcentral lists this long non-coding RNA (930 nucleotides) under Phasianus colchicus (ring-necked pheasant). RNAcentral describes it as "lncRNA (ENSPCLG00000018786.1)". The record is from RNAcentral. Lineage: Eukaryota; Metazoa; Chordata; Aves; Galliformes; Phasianidae.
CCCUCCUUCCUGCCCCCCCCCUUCCCUCCCAUUUGUUCGCAUUGCUGCCAGGGCUGCGUGUCACAGCGUGCGCAGCGUGUCACGUGUGCGGUGUGUCAUGUGUGUGCCGUGUGUGCCAUGUGCUGCAUGUCACAGCAUGUGCUGCGUGUCACGUGUGUGCUGUGUGUCAUGUGUGUGCUGCAUGUCACAGUGCGUGCGCCGUGUCACGUGUGUGCAGCGUGUCACGUGUGCUGUGUGUGCCGUGUGCUGCAUGUCACGGUGUGUACCGCAUGUGCCGUGCCUCAUCACUGUGUGCUGCGUGUCACGUGUGUGCUGCGUGUGCCAUGCGCUGUGUCACAGCGUGUGCUGCGUGUGCCGUGUGCUGCAUGUCACAGCGUGUGCUGCGUGUGCCAUGUGCUGCAUGUCACAGCGUGUGCUGCGUGUGCCGUGCACCGUGUGCUGCGUGCCACAACACCCGCGUGCCGUGUGUUGCGUGCUGUGUGCUGUGUGCUGCACGCCAUGCAUUGCGUGCCGCGUGCCGUGCACCGUGUGCGCCGUGCUGUGCCGCGUGCUGUGUGUCACACGCAGAUCCGUGCGCCGUUCCGUGUGCUGUUCUGUGUGCCGUGCGCCGUUCCAUGCGUGCUCUUCUGUGUGCUGCUCCAUGCACCAGUCCCUGUGCACCAGUCCAUGCACCAUUCCAUGCACUGUUCCAUGUGCACCAUUCCAUGUGCACCAUUCAGUGUGCACCAUUCCAUGCACCAUUCCAUGUGCACCAUUCCAUGUGCACCGUUCCAUGUGCACCAUUUCAUGUGCACCGUUCCGUGUGCACCGUUCCACGUGCACCGUUCCAUGCCAUUCCGUGUGCACGGUUCCGUGCACGGUUCCGUGUUGCACCCCUUGACCUCUCUCCUCUCUCCCCUCCACAGCACUGGUGCAAAAAGGUGGGUGUGA